Molecule: RNA transcript, 1632 nt
Organism: Arachis duranensis
Lineage: Eukaryota; Viridiplantae; Streptophyta; Magnoliopsida; Fabales; Fabaceae
Gene name: probable glucan 1,3-beta-glucosidase A
Exons: 3
Source: RefSeq, a predicted model, not a curated record
ACUGAGUAGAACCAACGAAAUAAAAAUGAGCAUCCCCACUGCAACAACAACACUCUUGAUCCUCUUCACCAUCUUCACACCGCUACACCUCAAGGCCAAUGCAGCCAAAUGCCACCCGGAUGACGAAGCAGGCCUAUUGGGCUUCAAAUCGGGCAUCAAGUCCGACCCAUCUGGGAUGCUCAGCAAAUGGAUACGCGGGACCGAUUGUUGCACGUGGCCUGGCCUCAACUGUCUAUUUGAAAACAAACGGGUCACAAGCAUUUCUCUUGGGGGUCAACCCGACCAACCCAAUAGCUUCUUAUCGGGUACCAUAUCGUCCUCCCUCUCAAAGCUCCAAUUUCUCGACGGUAUUUAUUUCACUAAUCUCCGAAACAUAUCGGGUCCCUUCCCGGGUUUUCUCCUCAAUAUGCCCAACCUCCAAUACAUCUACAUCGAGAACAGCCAGAUCUCGGGUCGCAUACCCGAUUCUUUUGGAAACUCCACUCGAAAAUUUGGCGCCUUCAGCUUCCAAGGCAACCGCUUAACCGGAACAGUGCCGAGUUCACUAUCCCUGUUGACUCAGCUCACUCAGCUCAAACUCGGCGACAACCUCCUCACCGGUGCUAUCCCAGACGGGAUUCGGAACCUCAAGAACCUCACAUAUCUGAGUUUGCAAGGCAACCAGCUCAGUGGUAACAUUCCCGAUUUUUUCACUUCGUUAAAGAACCUCAGGAUUCUAGAACUUUCUCGGAACAAAUUUUCCGGCACGAUUCCGGCGUCGAUUGCCACGCUGGCACCAACACUGGGAUACCUGGAACUGGGACACAACUCGCUUUCCGGGAAAAUCCCUGAUUUUCUAGGGAAAAUGAAGGCUCUCGACACACUCGAUCUCUCCUCGAACCGAUUCACUGGAAGCGUGCCACAGAGCUUCAAGAACUUGACGAAGAUCUUCAACCUGGACCUCUCCAACAACUUGCUGGUAGACCCGUUCCCCGAGAUGAACGUGAAAGGAAUUGAAUCUCUGGAUUUGUCGAACAACAACUUGCACCUGGGAACAAUCCCCAAGUGGGUGACUUCGUCUCCGAUUAUCUACUCGUUGAAGCUGGCCAAGUGUGGAAUAAGGAUGAAGCUGGAUGAUUGGAAGCCUUCGGAGACUUACUUCUACGACUACAUCGAUCUCUCCGGAAACGAUAUCUCAGGGAGCGCCAUUGGAUUGCUGAACAGAACAGAUUAUUUGGUAGGGUUCUGGGCUUCGGGGAACAAAUUGAAGUUCGACAUGGGAGGUUUGAGGAUCGUGGAGAAGCUCAAGUACUUGGAUUUGUCUAGAAAUUCGGUGUUUGGAAAGAUUCCGAAGGGUGUGGUUGGGCUUCAGAAGCUGAACGUCAGUUAUAACCAUCUUUGUGGUCAGAUUCCAAAGACUCAGUUCCCGGCCAGUGCCUUUGCCGGAAAUGAUUGUUUGUGUGGUCCUCCUUUGCAGCCAUGCAAGGCCUAGCACUAUCAUUAGAAUUUGCCAUACAAAGCUGUGAAUCUAGGAAACUGGUUGCUUGCUGAGGGAUGGAUGAAACCUUCUCUCUUUGAUGGAAUUGUCAACAAAGAUCUCUUGGAUGGAACUCAAGUGCAGCUAAUGUCCACUAAGUUCCAGAAAUAUCUCGC